RNAcentral lists this ribosomal RNA (923 nucleotides) under uncultured bacterium. Its description in RNAcentral is "bacterial SSU rRNA". It matches the Rfam family "Bacterial small subunit ribosomal RNA", at positions 8 to 914 of the family's 1533-position model. The record is from RNAcentral.
AGAGUUUGAUCCUGGCUCAGGACGAACGCUGGCGGCGUGCCUAAUACAUGCAAGUAGAACGCUGAAGAGAGGAGCUUGCUCUUCUUGGAUGAGUUGCGAACGGGUGAGUAACGCGUAGGUAACCUGCCUUGUAGCGGGGGAUAACUAUUGGAAACGAUAGCUAAUACCGCAUAACAAUGGGUGACACAUGUCAUUUAUUUGAAAGGGGCAAUUGCUCCACUACAAGAUGGACCUGCGUUGUAUUAGCUAGUAGGUGAGGUAACGGCUCACCUAGGCAACGAUACAUAGCCGACCUGAGAGGGUGAACGGCCACACUGGGACUGAGACACGGCCCAGACUCCUACGGGAGGCAGCAGUAGGGAAUCUUCGGCAAUGGACGCAAGUCUGACCGAGCAACGCCGCGUGAGUGAAGACGGUUUUCGGAUCGUAAAGCUCUGUUGUAGGGGAAGAACGUGUGUAAGAGUGGAAAGCUUACACAGUGACGGUACCCUACCAGAAAGGGACGGCUAACUACGUGCCAGCAGCCGCGGUAAUACGUAGGUCCCGAGCGUUGUCCGGAUUUAUUGGGCGUAAAGGGAGCGCAGGCGGUUUAGUAAGUCUGAAGUUAAAGGCAUUGGCUCAACCAAUGUAUGCUUUGGAAACUGUUAGACUUGAGUGCAGAAGGGGAGAGUGGAAUUCCAUGUGUAGCGGUGAAAUGCGUAGGUAUAUGGAGGAACACCGGUGGCGAAAGCGGCUCUCUGGUCUGUAACUGACGCUGAGGCUCGAAAGCGUGGGGAGCAAACAGGAUUAGAUACCCUGGUAGUCCACGCCGUAACGAUGAGUGCUAGGUGUUAGGCCCUUUCCGGGGCUUAGUGCCGCAGCUAACGCAUUAAGCACUCCGCCUGGGGAGUACGACCGCAAGGUUGAAACUCAAAGGAAUUGAC